UGGCAUUUUGCUAGGAAAUUUGCACCCCAUCUGCUGUCACUGUGAAUUUAACUCGUGCCACUGCAGGAAUCAGCAAUAUUGGAGGCGAACAUGCCCAGUAGUGAAAUGGUUGCAUAUCUUCGCGUCAGGUGUUUCCCGAUGGCAGCAGCCAGAAGCGGGUAUUUGAAAGGGAGUACAAGAUGUUGUGGAUGUGAGCAUCCCAGCGCCUUCUGGCAAGACGCACACGAUGGAAGAUCCGACCCCUUACUCAAGAGAGGUGUUUGGCAUUCUCGAAAAUUUAUUGAGGCAGUUCGGCCCUCGGGUCUUUCCCGAGGGCAGCAGCCAGAAGCGGCUAUUUAAAAGGGAGUGAAAGAUGAUGUGCAUCUUAGCGUCCAAGCGCUUUCUGGAAAGACUUACACCAUGGAAGAUCAGAUAUCUGACCCAGGAGUGGUGUCACGCACUCUCGAAAAAUUAUUGAGGAAGUUCGGCCCUCGGGUGUUUCCCGAGGGCAGCAGCCAGAAGCGGGUAUUUGAAAGGGAGUACAAGAUGGUGUGGAUGUGAGCAUCCCAGCGCCUUCUGGCAAGACGCAUACGAUGGAAGAUCCGACCCCUUACUCAAGGGUGGUGUUUCGCAUUCUCGAAAAUUUAUUGAGGCAGUUCGGCCCUCGGGCUUCUGGGAAAGUGCAUUCUGGGACUCCUCAAAGCAGCGCAGCGCCUGAUUGCCGAACUUCAAGAAAGCGAUCAUCUAAGUCACCGACUUAUCUAAAUCACAUUCUGGCGUUUCUUACGCUACAGUCGGUAGACCCUUCUCAGAAACCGACAUUCUGCACAUGGAAACGAGCUUCCUCACAUCUGAUGCCUACGCGAUAUUGUCACCUGGAAAACACAUCAAGCAAUUAAAACUGCAAAAGACAAUUACAUUUAGACUCAUUAAACGUCGCCAAAGCUUUAUAUCAUGUAUAAAAGAACUUUCCUGUACUUACUGGACGUUAUUCAAUCAUGUGCACUGUGUACACAUCUCGUCAGCGUAUCAUAAU
This is a long non-coding RNA of Dermacentor andersoni, 1015 nucleotides long. RefSeq lists it as uncharacterized. Lineage: Eukaryota; Metazoa; Arthropoda; Arachnida; Ixodida; Ixodidae. The record is from RefSeq and is a predicted model, not a curated record.